RNAcentral lists this ribosomal RNA (253 nucleotides) under uncultured bacterium. Its description in RNAcentral is "partial 16S ribosomal RNA". It matches the Rfam family "Bacterial small subunit ribosomal RNA", at positions 524 to 776 of the family's 1533-position model. The record is from RNAcentral.
CACGUAGGCACCAAGCGUUGUCCGGAUUUAUUGGGCGUAAAGAGCUCGUAGGCGGCCUGUCGCGUCUGCUGUGAAAGCCCGGGGCUCAACCCCGGGUCUGCAGUGGAUACGGGCAGGCUAGAGUCCGGCAGGGGAGACUGGAAUUCCUGGUGUAGCGGUGAAAUGCGCAGAUAUCAGGAGGAACACCGGUGGCGAAGGCGGGUCUCUGGGCCGGUACUGACGCUGAGGAGCGAAAGCGUGGGGAGCAAACAGG